GCGGNNGAAAAGNNCCNACAGGGAUUGCCUUAGUAACGGCGAGUGAAGCGGCAACAGCUCAAAUUUGAAAUCUGGCCCCAGGCCCGAGUUGUAAUUUGCAGAGGAUGCUUUUGGCGCGGUGCCUUCCGAGUUCCCUGGAACGGGACGCCAUAGAGGGUGAGAGCCCCGUCUGGUUGGAUACCAAGCCUUUGUAAAGCUCCUUCGACGAGUCGAGUAGUUUGGGAAUGCUGCUCUAAAUGGGAGGUAUAUGUCUUCUAAAGCUAAAUACCGGCCAGAGACCGAUAGCGCACAAGUAGAGUGAUCGAAAGAUGAAAAGCACUUUGGAAAGAGAGUUAAACAGCACGUGAAAUUGUUAAAAGGGAAGCGUUUAUGACCAGACUUGGGCCGGUUAAUCAUCCAGCGUUCUCGCUGGUGCACUUUGCCGGUCCAGGCCAGCAUCAGUUCGCUGCGGGGGAUAAAGGCGUCGGGAAUGUGGCUCCUCUGGAGUGUUAUAGCCCUUCGCGCAAUACCCUGCGGUGGACUGAGGUUCGCGCAUCUGCAAGGAUGCUGGCGUAAUGGUCAUCAACGACCCGUCUUGAAACACGGACCAAGGAGUCGUCUUCGUAUGCGAGUGUUCGGGUGUAAAACCCCUACGCGUAAUGAAAGUGAACGCAGGUGAGAGCUUCGGCGCAUCAUCGACCGAUCCUGAUGUUCUCGGAUGGAUUUGAGUAAGAGCAUACGGGGCCGGACCCGAAAGAAGGUGAACUAUGCCUGUAUAGGGUGAAGCCAGAGGAAACUCUGGUGGAGGCUCGCAGCGGUUCUGACGUGCAAAUCGAUCGUCAAAUAUGGGCAUGGGGGCGAAAGACUAAUCGANCCUUCUAGUA
Molecule: ribosomal RNA, 863 nt
Filed under: Stachybotrys chartarum
Lineage: Eukaryota; Fungi; Ascomycota; Sordariomycetes; Hypocreales; Stachybotryaceae
Description: LSU rRNA
Rfam family: Eukaryotic large subunit ribosomal RNA
Source: RNAcentral